AACGAACGCUGGCGGCGUGCCUAAGACAUGCAAGUCGUGCGAGAAAGGGGCUCGGUCCCGAGUACAGCGGCGCACGGGUGAGUAACGCGUGGGUAACCUACCUCGAAGUCUGGAAUAACCCGGGGAAACCUGAGCUAAUACCGGAUGAGCCUACGAGGCCUUCGGGUCAUGUGGGAAAAGAUGGCCUCUGCUUGCAAGCUAUCGCUACGAGAUGAGCCCGCGUCCCAUUAGCUAGUUGGUGAGGUAACGGCUCACCAAGGCGACGAUGGGUAGCUGGUCUGAGAGGACGAUCAGCCACACUGGAACUGAGACACGGUCCAGACUCCUACGGGAGGCAGCAGUCGGGAAUAUUGGGCAAUGGGCGCAAGCCUGACCCAGCGACGCCGCGUGAGGGAUUGAAGGCCUUCGGGUCGUAAACCUCUGUCGGGAGGGAAGAAUGGCGGUGAGGCGAACAGUUUCGCUGUCUGACGGUACCUCCAAAGGAAGCGCCGGCUAACUCCGUGCCAGCAGCUGC
Molecule: ribosomal RNA, 514 nt
Filed under: uncultured bacterium
Lineage: Bacteria
Description: bacterial SSU rRNA
Rfam family: Bacterial small subunit ribosomal RNA
Source: RNAcentral